This 253-nucleotide ribosomal RNA is filed under the name uncultured bacterium. RNAcentral describes it as "partial 16S ribosomal RNA". It matches the Rfam family "Bacterial small subunit ribosomal RNA", at positions 524 to 776 of the family's 1533-position model. The record is from RNAcentral.
UACGUAGGGUGCAAGCGUUGUCCGGAAUUAUUGGGCGUAAAGAGCUCGUAGGCGGUUUGUCGCGUCUGCUGUGAAAACUCGGGGCUUAACUCCGGGCCUGCAGUGGGUACGGGCAGACUAGAGUGCGGUAGGGGAGACUGGAAUUCCUGGUGUAGCGGUGAAAUGCGCAGAUAUCAGGAGGAACACCGGUGGCGAAGGCGGGUCUCUGGGCCGUAACUGACGCUGAGGAGCGAAAGCGUGGGAAGCGAACAGG